GUAGUAGCAAAUACUCAAGCGAGGACCUUGAGGACUGAUGUGGAGAAGGGUUUCGUGUGAACAGCCGUUGCACACGAGUCAGUCGAACCUAAGCCCUAGGAGAAAUCCGAUGUAUGGGGACGCUGGUCCCUGAGGGCGAAAGGGAAUCCGGUUCCUAUUCCGGAACCCGGCCGCGGAACCGUUCAAGUCGGGCCAUUUCCCUUCACGGGAAGCUCGUCGGGGUAACCCAAACAAACCCGGAGACGCCGUCGGGAGAUCGGGGAAGAGUUUUCUUUUCUGUAUGAGCGUUCGAGUUCCCUGGAAUUCUCUAGCAGAGAGAUAGGGUUUGGAACGCGAAGAGCACCGCAGUUGCGGCGGUGUCCCGAUUUUCCCCUCGGACCUUGAAAAUCCGGGAGAGGGCCACGUGGAGGUGUCGCGCCGGAUCGUACCCAUAUCCGCAGCAGGUCUCCGAGGUGAAGAGCCUCUAGUCGAUAGACUAAUGUAGGUAAGGGAAGUCGGCAAAUUGGAUCCGUAACUUCGGAAUAAGGAU
Molecule: ribosomal RNA, 529 nt
Filed under: Lutosa sp. ICCM-2015
Lineage: Eukaryota; Metazoa; Arthropoda; Insecta; Orthoptera; Anostostomatidae
Description: eukaryotic LSU rRNA
Rfam family: Eukaryotic large subunit ribosomal RNA
Source: RNAcentral